This 444-nucleotide ribosomal RNA is filed under the name Escherichia coli. RNAcentral's name for it is "partial 23S ribosomal RNA". It matches the Rfam family "Bacterial large subunit ribosomal RNA", at positions 184 to 667 of the family's 2925-position model. The record is from RNAcentral. Lineage: Bacteria; Pseudomonadati; Pseudomonadota; Gammaproteobacteria; Enterobacterales; Enterobacteriaceae.
CCGGGGGAACUGAAACAUCUAAGUACCCCGAGGAAAAGAAAUCAACCGAGAUUCCCCCAGUAGCGGCGAGCGAACGGGGAGGAGCCCAGAGCCUGAAUCAGUGUGUGUGUUAGUGGAAGCGUCUGGAAAGGCGCGCGAUACAGGGUGACAGCCCCGUACACAAAAAUGCACAUGCUGUGAGCUCGAUGAGUAGGGCGGGACACGUGGUAUCCUGUCUGAAUAUGGGGGGACCAUCCUCCAAGGCUAAAUACUCCUGACUGACCGAUAGUGAACCAGUACCGUGAGGGAAAGGCGAAAAGAACCCCGGCGAGGGGAGUGAAAAAGAACCUGAAACCGUGUACGUACAAGCAGUGGGAGCACAGAGCAAUCUGUGUGACUGCGUACCUUUUGUAUAAUGGGUCAGCGACUUAUAUUCUGUAGCAAGGUUAACCGAAUAGGGGAGCC